This 502-nucleotide ribosomal RNA is filed under the name uncultured bacterium. RNAcentral describes it as "partial 16S ribosomal RNA". It matches the Rfam family "Bacterial small subunit ribosomal RNA", at positions 30 to 523 of the family's 1533-position model. The record is from RNAcentral.
AUUGAACGCUGGCGGCAGGCUUAACACAUGCAAGUCGAGCGGAGUGAUGGUGCUUGCACUAUCACUUAGCGGCGGACGGGUGAGUAAUGCUUAGGAAUCUGCCUAUUAGUGGGGGACAACAUCUCGAAAGGGAUGCUAAUACCGCAUACGUCCUACGGGAGAAAGCAGGGGAUCACUUGUGACCUUGCGCUAAUAGAUGAGCCUAAGUCGGAUUAGCUAGUUGGUGGGGUAAAGGCCUACCAAGGCGACGAUCUGUAGCGGGUCUGAGAGGAUGAUCCGCCACACUGGAACUGAGACACGGCCAGACUCCUACGGGAGGCAGCAGUGGGGAAUAUUGGACAGUGGGGGGAACCCUGAUCCAGCCACGCCGCGUGUGUGAAGAAGGCCUUAUGGUUGUAAAGCACUUUAAGCGAGGAGGAGGCUCUUUUGGUUAAUACCCAAGAUGAGUGGACGUUACUCGCAGAAUAAGCACCGGCUAACUCUGUGCCAGCCGCCGCAGUAA